This is a long non-coding RNA of Leptinotarsa decemlineata (Colorado potato beetle), 741 nucleotides long. RefSeq lists it as uncharacterized. NCBI's taxonomy places the organism in Eukaryota, Metazoa, Arthropoda, Insecta, Coleoptera, Chrysomelidae. The record is from RefSeq and is a predicted model, not a curated record.
UCAAAACCAAAAUGUCAACUGAUCUCUUGUCAAAUAGCUGUCAAUCGUUAUUCCGUUAUUAAGGUUUUCAUAUUUACAAUGACAACAACGAUGUGAUUCCUCCCGGCCUAGUUCGAAAAGUACGUAGAGGAGAACGUCCAAAUUUGGGCUAGGGUCUAAAUUCUGGUUAGCGUGAUAUUCAUUAUAAGGAGGUGCUGGAACCUAGCGGAGAGAAAGUAAAACAAUGUUCAAGGUCGUUCCCAUUGCUCAGUUAGAGGGAUAGUUCUGUUCCGUGACACGCAUAUGCGUAGUGAAAUAUUCUUUGAAUUUGACCAUCUGAAAACUUUUGCAUUUUAUUUAAUAAUCUAGGUAUAUGACCUAGAUUCUUACUAAUGAGUUUGAUUAUACAUAUAUCAAGGUUUUAAUAUAAACAUAGUUCUUACCUCUUCUUUUAUUUGUUCGUGUAUAACUAACCUCAAACCGACGCACGCCAUAGCAAAGAAUGACGAGGAAAAAACCCAAGUACACACCUAAGAAUAAAAGGAAGAACUGGAAUGAAGUGGACAUGGAGAAGGCUAUUCGUGCCGUUAGGCUUUGUUUAUGUUUUCCCAGUGUAUUAGGUACUCCUAAAUUUGGGCCUAGCCCAAAUUUAGACCACACUUCAAAAAUAUGAGACUUUGGCAUAUAAUUUGUUUUGAUGAAAAUCUUCAAAAUAGCUUUAUUUUGUAGUUUUUUAAUAUAAUGAACUCAAAACCUUUUAAA